This 253-nucleotide ribosomal RNA is filed under the name uncultured bacterium. RNAcentral's name for it is "partial 16S ribosomal RNA". It matches the Rfam family "Bacterial small subunit ribosomal RNA", at positions 524 to 776 of the family's 1533-position model. The record is from RNAcentral.
UACGAGAGGCCCAAACGUUAAUCGGAAUUACUGGGCGUAAAGUGUGCGCAGGCGGCCGAGCAAAUCGAGUGUGAAAGCCCCGGGCUUAACUUGGGAAUUGCGCUCGAAACUACUUUGCUGGAGUGUGGCAGAGGAAGGUGGAAUUCCACGUGUAGCGGUGAAAUGCGUAGAGAUGUGGAGGAACACCAAUGGCGAAGGCAGCCUUCUGGGCCAACACUGACGCUCAUGCACGAAAGCGUGGGGAGCAAACAGG